CAGGUCAUAGUGAUCCGGUGGUUCUGAAUGGAAGGGCCAUCGCUCAACGGAUAAAAGGUACUCCGGGGAUAACAGGCUGAUACCGCCCAAGAGUUCAUAUCGACGGCGGUGUUUGGCACCUCGAUGUCGGCUCAUCACAUCCUGGGGCUGAAGUAGGUCCCAAGGGUAUGGCUGUUCGCCAUUUAAAGUGGUACGCGAGCUGGGUUUAGAACGUCGUGAGACAGUUCGGUCCCUAUCUGCCGUGGGCGCUGGAGAACUGAGGGGAGCUGCUCCUAGUACGAGAGGACCGGAGUGGACGCAUCACUGGUGUUCGGGUUGUCAUGCCAAUGGCACUGCCCGGUAGCUAAAUGCGGAAGAGAUAAGUGCUGAAAGCAUCUAAGCACGAAACUUGCCCCGAGAUGAGUUCUCCCUGACUCCUUGAGAGUCCUGAAGGAACGUUGAAGACGACGACGUUGAUAGGCCGGGUGUGUAAGCGCAGCGAUGCGUUGAGCUAACCGGUACUAAUGAACCGUGAGGCUUAACCUUACAACGCCGAAG
Molecule: ribosomal RNA, 537 nt
Filed under: Escherichia coli
Lineage: Bacteria; Pseudomonadati; Pseudomonadota; Gammaproteobacteria; Enterobacterales; Enterobacteriaceae
Description: bacterial LSU rRNA
Rfam family: Bacterial large subunit ribosomal RNA
Source: RNAcentral